GUUUGAUUAUGGCUCAGAUUGAACGCUGGCGGGAUGUGCUUUACGCUGCAAGUCGAACGGCAGCACGGACUUCGGUCUGGUGAGUGGCGAACGGGUAGUAAUGUAUCAGGAACGUGCUGAAUGGCGGGGAUAUGCGCCGAAAGCGUAGCUAAUACCGCAUACGCCCUUCGAAGAAAGCAAAAGAGGACCUUCGGGCCUCGCACUAUUAAACGGCCGAUAUGGAUUAAGCCUAGUUGGGUAGGGCCAACGGCUCACCAAGGCGACGAAAUCCGUAGCUGGUUGAGAGGACGACCAGCCACACUGGGACUGAGACACGGCCGAACCUGAGGAGGCAGCAGUGGGGAAUUUUGGACAAUGGAAACCUGAUCCAGCCAUCACGCGUGUG
RNAcentral lists this unclassified non-coding RNA (385 nucleotides) under uncultured Bordetella sp. RNAcentral's name for it is "partial 16S-23S ribosomal RNA intergenic spacer". It matches the Rfam family "Bacterial small subunit ribosomal RNA", at positions 11 to 405 of the family's 1533-position model. The record is from RNAcentral. Lineage: Bacteria; Pseudomonadati; Pseudomonadota; Betaproteobacteria; Burkholderiales; Alcaligenaceae.